AGUAUUUUGACUAUACAAAGGUAUUGAAAUAAGACUUUAAUUGAGUGCUAAGAGAAUGGAAUUUCAUAAAAUUUCUUUUUUAAUUUUAAAAAUUGAAAUUAAUUUUAUAUGUGAAGAAACAAUAAUAAAAAUUAAGGACAAGAAGACCCUAAGAAUUUUAAAAAUUUCAAUAAAAUACAGCAUUUUAUUGAAAUUUUUUAAUUGGGGCGAUUAUUAAAUAUUAAAAACUUUAAUUUUUUUAAAAAAGAACCAAUAAUAUUGGUUAUUUGAAAAAAUACUCUAGGGAUAACAGCGUAAUAAUUUUUGAUAGUUCUUAUAGACAAAAUAGUUUGCGACCUCGAUGUUGGAUUAGGAUUCUUUUUUAAUGAAGAAGUUAAAAAAAGAAGUUUGUUCAACUUUUAAAAUCCU
Molecule: ribosomal RNA, 408 nt
Filed under: Amblyomma maculatum (Gulf Coast tick)
Lineage: Eukaryota; Metazoa; Arthropoda; Arachnida; Ixodida; Ixodidae
Description: partial small subunit ribosomal RNA
Source: RNAcentral